RNAcentral lists this ribosomal RNA (478 nucleotides) under uncultured bacterium. Its description in RNAcentral is "partial 16S ribosomal RNA". It matches the Rfam family "Bacterial small subunit ribosomal RNA", at positions 28 to 523 of the family's 1533-position model. The record is from RNAcentral.
GACGAACGCUGGCGGCGUGCUUAACACAUGCAAGUCGAACGGUAAGGCCCUUCGGGGUACACGAGUGGCGAACGGGUGAGUAACACGUGGGUGAUCUGCCCUGCACUUCGGGAUAAGCCUGGGAAACUGGGUCUAAUACCGGAUAGGACUCCGGACUGCAUGGUCUGGGGUGGAAAGCUUUUGCGGUGUGGGAUGGGCCCGCGGCCUAUCAGCUUGUUGGUGGGGUGAUGGCCUACCAAGGCGACGAAGGGUAGCCGGCCUGAGAGGGUGACCGGCCACACUGGGAUUGAGAUACGGCCCAGACUCCUACGGGAGGCAGCAGUGGGGAAUAUUGCACAAUGGGCGCAAGCCUGAUGCAGCGACGCCGCGUGAGGGAUGACGGCCUUCGGGUUGUAAACCUCUUUCAGCAUCGACGAAGCGAAAGUGACGGUAGGUGCAGAAGAAGGACCGGCCAACUACGUGCCAGCCGCCGCAGUAA